This 346-nucleotide unclassified non-coding RNA is filed under the name soil metagenome. RNAcentral describes it as "partial contains 5.8S ribosomal RNA, internal transcribed spacer 2, and large subunit ribosomal RNA". The stretch from base 3 to 121 matches the Rfam family "5.8S ribosomal RNA", at positions 36 to 154 of the family's 154-position model. The record is from RNAcentral.
GAAUGAAGAACGUAGCGAAAUGCGAUACGUAAUGUGAAUUGCAGAAUUCAGUGAAUCAUCGAGUCUUUGAACGCACAUUGCGCCCCCUGGUAUUCCGGGGGGCAUGCCUGUCCGAGCGUCAUUGCUGCCCUCAAGCACGGCUUGUGUGUUGGGCCUCCGUCCUCCUCCCGGGGGACGGGCCCGAAAGGCAGCGGCGGCACCGCGUCCGGUCCUCGAGCGUAUGGGGCUUCGUCACCCGCUCUUGUAGGCCCGGCCGGCGCUUGCCGACACAUCAAUCUUUUUUCCAGGUUGACCUCGGAUCAGGUAGGGAUACCCGCUGAACUUAAGCAUAUCAAUAAGCGGAGGA